UCUAGGACCCGGUGACUCUUCUUCCGUCUUUUGGCUACUUGAUGCUCUCAGUGCUCUCGUCUGUGUGGACUUCAUACAAACAGAUGACCAGCACAGUAUACAGGCGGUGUCUCUAGAUACGUCGGAUCGUGUCACAAUAAAUAAUCACAAAGGAAAACAUAUCACAAGUAUCUGUACUCUGAACGUGCUCAUCCAUGUGUUUGCGCGCCGCAUGCGGGAUUCUGUGAACAUCACGCAUGAGACAACGCUGGAAGGGCGGGAACUUUAUAAAGCUACUUUAUCUCAAAGAAGCUUAACUUUAACAGAGGAUUAGCUCAACAAUGAACCAGCAUGGAUUUCUUAUCUACCUUUCUGUUAUGGCUUUUUGGCGAACACGUUCUGGUGUAGAGGUGUCAGGCUCAGAUGCCUUUAAAAACAACAUUACGCUCUUCACUCGGAUUUUGGACCGACUGCUUGAUGGCUAUGACAACAGGUUGAGACCUGGUCUCGGAGGUAAGAGUACAGAGCUGACACCAGUUUUCAGACUAAACCUUGUGAUUAUUGGGGAAUAUUAGCCUAACUUGUGAGUCAUUAUUGCCCUGCACAGCCUCAUUUAACAUCCUAAUUUCCUGAAGUCGUUACAUUCAUAUACUCAUAUACACUUACAAAAUUACAAUCAGAGUACAGAGGAAAAUUACAAUCUUAGUGAUUUUCAUAAAAAUACUUUCGUAUAACAGAUGAAAUCCCAUAAAUUAGCCCUUGGUUAAAAACAGGAAGAAGUUUUAAUUGCAUUCAGGUGAAUGUAUGCAUAAAAACAUAUAAACGUUACCAAAAUGUUACUAAUGUACCAAAUUGCCAUAAUCAGAAGCAUCUAUCAAGCGGUUUGCAUGUUUGCGUUUGCAUCUCUGACCAAAGUUUCCCAU
Paramisgurnus dabryanus is the source of this 902-nucleotide long non-coding RNA. RefSeq lists it as uncharacterized. The record is from RefSeq and is a predicted model, not a curated record. Lineage: Eukaryota; Metazoa; Chordata; Actinopteri; Cypriniformes; Cobitidae.